This 84-nucleotide transfer RNA is filed under the name Isoptericola dokdonensis DS-3. RNAcentral's name for it is "tRNA-Leu". It matches the Rfam family "tRNA". Rfam says of the family: Transfer RNA (tRNA) molecules are approximately 80 nucleotides in length. Their secondary structure includes four short double-helical elements and three loops (D, anti-codon, and T loops). The record is from RNAcentral. Lineage: Bacteria; Bacillati; Actinomycetota; Actinomycetes; Micrococcales; Promicromonosporaceae.
GCGCGAGUGGCGGAACAGGCAGACGCGCUGGGUUUAGGUCUCAGUGUCCUCGGACGUGCGGGUUCGACUCCCGCCUCGCGCACC